UACAGAGGAGCCAAGCGUUGUCCGGAUUGCCUGGGCGUAAAGCGCACGCAGGCGGACGCGCGCGUGGGGUGUGAAAUCUGGCCGCUUAACGGCCAGGCGCCAUCCCAUACGGCGCGACUGGAGUGAUGCAGAGGUCGAUGGAAUUGCCGGUGUAGUGGUGAAAUGCGUAGAGAUCGGCAGGAACACCCAGGGGGAAACCAGUCGACUGGGCAGCACCUGACGCUGAGGUGCGAGAGCGUGGGGAGCGAACCGG
Molecule: ribosomal RNA, 253 nt
Filed under: uncultured bacterium
Lineage: Bacteria
Description: partial 16S ribosomal RNA
Rfam family: Bacterial small subunit ribosomal RNA
Source: RNAcentral